UCUAGGCAUCUAUCCCAAGCAUUUUAUAAAAUUCUGGUUUAUGCUCCAGCACUGCUUGCAGCAACACAUGAGGAAGCUAGCUAAAUUUCUUGGAUAGUUUUCUUGUAUGUAUAUAAUUGGUUUGCCCAAUUAUUUAUGUCUUGCUUAUGCAACUGGAUUAUAGAUUACUGCUCGAUUGACUUUUGGAAAUCAGCACAUAAUAACUUGACAUAGUAUUAGAUAGUUGAGUAGGAAGAGAAAAGAAGCAGCUUCGGUACAAAAUUCAGAGAGUGGAUUUGAGACAUCUGUAUCUCAAGAUUAUCUUGUGACCAGAAAUUUAGAUGGGUGUAUUCGUGUAGAACAAUUUCUUAGGAUGGGUAGUUAACCUGAAGAUGUGUCCUUAAAUGGACAGCCUAGAAGGUAGAAGUACUGGUGUACUGACUCCUGAACCUGAAUUGCAGUGACAGUGUGACGCAGAGAUGGCACGCUCAUAGAGUUCAGUUAAGUUCCAACUAUUGUAUCAACGCUGUAAAGAAAAAAAAAAUCCGACCUGUAGUGUAUGAUAGGGAGCGGCUAUCAAGGUAAGGACAAUAACUGUAAUUAAGUCAAGUCAACAGCUAAUGGCCUGAAUCAAAUCUUAAAAGGACAUUCCAGACAUAAUCUUUUCUCAGUAGUUGCUUACUUCUCUAACAGUUCUUUUCUCCACCAAGAAUCAAAUAGUACAAACUAAACCUAACGUUUGAGAAGUAGCAAAUCUACCUUUUUUUGCCUGGGACGAUCAGUUGAUCAGUAUUAUUGUUUUACAGCAAAAAAUAUUUUCAUUAUCUUCUUUUUUGGAAGUUGAGUACUAUUUGCAGCUUCUGUUUCCUUUGUGCUUCUGAACUGAUAUUGUUCACUUAGAUUUAGAGAUCUUCUUGUGGGAUUCCAUUUUAUUUCUGUUAUAGAUCAUAAGAAGCCACAGAGAGAGCAACCUGAGUGACCGGGGUUUUCCGUUCAAUCAAAGUGUAGGUGUGUGUUUGGUUCGUUACCACAACAUGCCACAGCUCAUAACCUUUUUGUUGUUCUCAGUAAUGUUCGAUAGUCUUGAUAAUCCUAGACAUGGCUGAUCUCUGUGGUUUCAUUUUUUUAGUAUUUGAGUCUUGCAUCAAGUUACUCAAUUUUUGCUCACUCAAAAAAAGGUACUUGAGUCUGUAGGCCUGUCAUCAAUUUUUUCUCGACAGCAAUAGUAGCAAGGGCGGGAACGAGUAGGAGUAGGAGGAGGAAACCUUCUCCUAUUUUUUUAAAUGAUGGUAAAACAAGAGAGAAUGCAUCUAUUUGCACAUCCUGGAUUGGUAUCCCUCUAUUUACAGUUCUUUUCACCAUAGAUGUAUGAAGUCUUUUCUCUUGGUGUUGGAAGACAAACUGAGAUGAACCAUUUGUUUUCGUUUAAUUUUAGUUUGUUGAACAAGGUUGCCAAAAGUAGUAUGCUCAGCCACUGCGGCAUGAUCAACUUCUUUAUACUGGACAAAUCAAAUGUAGGUUCAAGUGGCUUCGCGACAAGGUUUGAAAACAUGCUUCAGGGUGACCAUGGGAUGCCCACAGGAGAGUUAACUUUGUUAAAUACACUAUCAGUAGAAGAAGCACAAACAGCCCUCCACAAAAACUUCUACAGUUUUGUGUCUACAUCACAGUACAAAAGACGGCUAGCAAUGAGCUAUCAUGUCGAACAAGCAAAGCUCAGUUGGUGAUGCACUCGCCUGUAGAAAGUACGACCAAGGAAAAGCAAUAAUCAAAGGUGCAUUAAACUACUCCCUCCGUCCCAAAAUUCUUGUCUUAGAUUUGUCUAAAUACGGAUGUAUCAAGUCACGUUUUAGUAUUAGAUACACCCGUAUCUAGACAAAUUUAAGACAAGAAUUUUGGGACGGAGGGAGUAACAUACUUACCACUGCAAUAAGAGAAAUAUUUCUUCCGAAGGCUUUUUCUUUUGUCCUCUGUUAGAGGUGUUGCUUUUAAAGAAAUUUGCUACUGUAUUUGCUUAUGCGGGAUGUUUGAUUAGCCAAAUAUUUCUACUUUUUGGCCUCUGCUAAGGGAUCUAUAUCGUUCGAGGACUCUAGACAAAUUUUAAUGUGAUUUUGUGUUUUCAA
Triticum dicoccoides is the source of this 2102-nucleotide long non-coding RNA. RefSeq lists it as uncharacterized. The record is from RefSeq and is a predicted model, not a curated record. The transcript is spliced from 2 exons. NCBI's taxonomy places the organism in Eukaryota, Viridiplantae, Streptophyta, Magnoliopsida, Poales, Poaceae.